Molecule: non-coding RNA, 21 nt
Filed under: Rattus norvegicus (Norway rat)
Lineage: Eukaryota; Metazoa; Chordata; Mammalia; Rodentia; Muridae
Source: RNAcentral
UGAGGACCAUAGGAUGUGAGA